RNAcentral lists this ribosomal RNA (468 nucleotides) under uncultured bacterium. RNAcentral describes it as "partial 16S ribosomal RNA". It matches the Rfam family "Bacterial small subunit ribosomal RNA", at positions 28 to 507 of the family's 1533-position model. The record is from RNAcentral.
GACGAACGCUGGCGGCGUGCUUAACACAUGCAAGUCGAACGAUGAAAGGGGAGGUUGCUCCUCUGGAUUAGUGGCGAAAGGGUGAGUAACACGUGUGCAUUCUGCCCCUGACUGCGGAAUAACUACGGGAGACAGUAGCUAAUAUCGGAUAUGCGCCGGACAGGCAUCUGUAACGGUGGGAAAGGAUUUCGGUCAGGGAUGAGCUCGCGGCCUAUCAGCUUGUUGGUGAGGUAACGGAGCACCAAGGCGACGACGGGUAGCCGGACUGAGAGGGUGACAGGCCACAUUGGGCCUGGGAAACCGGCCAGACUCAUACGGGAGGCAGCAGUGCGGAAUAGUGCACAAUGGGCGGCAGCAUGAAGCAGCAACGCCGCGUGAGAGAUGACGGCCUUCAGGUUGUAAACCUCUUUUAGCAGGGAAGAAGCGAAAGUGACGGUACCUGAAGAAAAAGCGCCGGCUAACUACGUG